Molecule: ribosomal RNA, 374 nt
Filed under: uncultured eukaryote
Lineage: Eukaryota
Description: partial 18S ribosomal RNA
Rfam family: Eukaryotic small subunit ribosomal RNA
Source: RNAcentral
CAAGAGCGUAUGUAAAAGUUGUUGCAGUUAAAAAGCUCGUAGUUGAACCUUGGGUUUGGUUGGCCGGUCCGCUUUUUUGCGAGUACUGGAUUCAACCGAGCCUUUCCUUCUGGCUAACCAGUCGUUUCGGCGGCUGGCGAACCAGGAUUUUUACCUUGAGAAAAUUAGAGUGUUCAAAGCAGGCAUUAGCUUGAAUAUAUUAGCAUGGAAUAAUAGAAUAGGACGUUAUGGUUCUAUUUUGUUGGUUUCUAGGACCAUCGUAAUGAUUAAUAGGGACGGUCGGGGGCAUCAGUAUUCAGUUGUCAGAGGUGAAAUUCUUGGAUUUACUGAAGACUAACUACUGCGAAAGCAUUUGCCAAGGACGUUUUCAUUAA